This 86-nucleotide transfer RNA is filed under the name Candidatus Coatesiibacteriota bacterium. RNAcentral's name for it is "Candidatus Coatesbacteria bacterium tRNA-Tyr". It matches the Rfam family "tRNA". Rfam says of the family: Transfer RNA (tRNA) molecules are approximately 80 nucleotides in length. Lineage: Bacteria; Candidatus Coatesiibacteriota. The record is from RNAcentral.
GGCGGGGUUCCCGAGCGGUCAAAGGGAACAGACUGUAAAUCUGUCGGUGAAUGCCUUCGAAGGUUCGAAUCCUUCCCCCGCCACCA